RNAcentral lists this transfer RNA (72 nucleotides) under Marmota monax (woodchuck). Its description in RNAcentral is "tRNA.Ala". It matches the Rfam family "tRNA". Rfam says of the family: Transfer RNA (tRNA) molecules are approximately 80 nucleotides in length. Their secondary structure includes four short double-helical elements and three loops (D, anti-codon, and T loops). Further hydrogen bonds mediate the characteristic L-shaped molecular structure. tRNAs have two regions of fundamental functional importance: the anti-codon, which is responsible for specific mRNA codon recognition, and the 3' end, to which the tRNAs corresponding amino acid is attached (by aminoacyl-tRNA synthetases). tRNAs cope with the degeneracy of the genetic code in two manners: having more than one tRNA (with a specific anti-codon) for a particular amino acid; and 'wobble' base-pairing, i.e. permitting non-standard base-pairing at the 3rd anti-codon position. Lineage: Eukaryota; Metazoa; Chordata; Mammalia; Rodentia; Sciuridae. The record is from RNAcentral.
GGGGUUGUGGCUCAGCGGUAGAGCGCUUGUCUAGCACAUAAUGAGGCCCUGGGUUCAAUCCUCAGCACCACA